Molecule: unclassified non-coding RNA, 167 nt
Filed under: uncultured Ascomycota
Lineage: Eukaryota; Fungi; Ascomycota
Description: sequence contains ITS2
Source: RNAcentral
CGACCCUCGGAGCUCCCUCUUGUAGGCUGCUUCGGCCUUGGGCUAGCGAGUAAGCCCUUUUGCUUGCGGCCUGUAAACGAUUGGCGGCGCGUUGGUUAACUCCCCUGCGUAGUGAAUUUGCUCGCAUUGGAUCACUAGCAAAGCCUGCCUUAAAACCCUUUUAACUA